CUUGGAGGGGAAAAGCCUUCGUCUGAAGCAACAGUAUACACUAUGUUCUGCUUCGCUUCAAGAUAUUAUUACCCGUUUUGAGAGAAGAUCUGGAAAUCUGAUAAAUUGGAAGGAUUUCCCUGAGAAAGUUGCUGUGCAGAUGAAUGAUACUCAUCCAACACUAUGCAUACCAGAGCUGAUGAGAAUACUUAUUGACGUAAAGGGUUUGAGCUGGGAAGAGGCCUGGAACAUUACCCAGAGAACUACUGCCUACACAAACCACACUGUUCUUCCUGAAGCCCUAGAGAAAUGGAGCUUAGAGCUUAUGGAGAAACUUCUCCCUCGACAUGUUGAAAUUAUAGAGAGGAUAGACAAGGAG
This 358-nucleotide unclassified non-coding RNA is filed under the name Hevea brasiliensis (rubber tree). The record is from RNAcentral. Lineage: Eukaryota; Viridiplantae; Streptophyta; Magnoliopsida; Malpighiales; Euphorbiaceae.